This is a non-coding RNA of Peromyscus maniculatus bairdii (prairie deer mouse), 247 nucleotides long. The record is from RefSeq and is a predicted model, not a curated record. NCBI's taxonomy places the organism in Eukaryota, Metazoa, Chordata, Mammalia, Rodentia, Cricetidae.
CACAGAUUCUCCCACAGCCAUCCAGGUUCUCACACCGGAAACUCAAAGUCAAAGGACUCCUGUUCUCGGACUAGAACUUACAACCUUUAAAUCCUAAUGAACCUCUUCUCUCUGACAAAUGAAAAGGAGAUACAUCAUAUUUAUUAUUUUUCUCAAUGGCAAAAGUUAGAUAAGCUUGAAGACCCUCAAAUCCAAGAGUAUGAAGCAAGCGACUGAGAAGUAUCAACCUUCAAAUAAUGAAGCAAGU